Molecule: ribosomal RNA, 202 nt
Filed under: uncultured bacterium
Lineage: Bacteria
Description: partial 16S ribosomal RNA
Rfam family: Bacterial small subunit ribosomal RNA
Source: RNAcentral
UACGGAGGGUGCGAGCGUUAAUCGGAAUAACUGGGCGUAAAGGGCACGCAGGCGGACUUUUAAGUGAGGGGUGAAAUCCCCGGGCUUAACCUGGGAACUGCAUUUGAUACUGGGAGUCUUGAGUACUUUAGAGGGAAGUGGAAUUCGACGUGUAGCGGUGAAAUGCUUAGAGAUGUGAAGGAACACCGAAUGCGAAGGCAGC